This 692-nucleotide ribosomal RNA is filed under the name uncultured euryarchaeote. Its description in RNAcentral is "bacterial SSU rRNA". It matches the Rfam family "Archaeal small subunit ribosomal RNA", at positions 54 to 750 of the family's 1478-position model. Lineage: Archaea; Methanobacteriati; Methanobacteriota. The record is from RNAcentral.
CGAGUCGAGAGCUUUCGGAGCUCGGCAUACUGCUCAGUAACACGCGCGUAACCUGCCCUGUGCUGGGGGAUAACCUCGGGAAACUGAGAACAAUACCCCAUAGUCCACUACGCCUGGAACGGUGAGUGGAUGAAAGCCCCGGCGGCACAGGAUGGGCCUGCGGCGUAUCAGGUAGUAGGGGGUGUAAAGUACCCUCUAGCCUUCGACGCGUACGGGUUGUGAGAGCAAUAGCCCGGAGAUGGAUUCUGAGACACGAAUCCAGGUCCUACGGGACGCAGCAGUCGCGAAACCUUGACAAUGCGGGAAACCGUGAUCAGGGGACUCCAAGUGCCAGGAGUAAGAUCCUGUGCUUUUCUUCUCUCUUCAAAGGAUUAGGAAUAAGAGGUGGGUAAGGACGGUGCCAGCCGCCGCGGUAAUACCGGCGCCUCGAGUGGUAGUCGAUUUUAUUGGGCCUAAAACGUCCGUCGCCGGUCUGGUGCAUUCGUGGGUAAAUCAACCCGCUCAACGGGUUGAAUUCUGCGAGCACGGCCAGACUAGGGACCGGGAGAGGUGUGGGGUACGCUCGGGGUAGGGGUAAAAUCCUGUCAUCCCGAGCGGACCACCUGUUGCGAAGGCGCCACACUAGAACGGAUCCGACGGUCAGGGACGAAACCUAGGGGCACGAACCGGAUUAGAUACCCGGGUAGUCCUAG